Molecule: ribosomal RNA, 461 nt
Filed under: uncultured Pseudomonas sp.
Lineage: Bacteria; Pseudomonadati; Pseudomonadota; Gammaproteobacteria; Pseudomonadales; Pseudomonadaceae
Description: bacterial SSU rRNA
Rfam family: Bacterial small subunit ribosomal RNA
Source: RNAcentral
CCCGCACAAGCGGUGGAGCAUGUGGUUUAAUCGAAGCAACGCGAAGAACCUUACCAGGCCUUGACAUGCAGAGAACUUCCAGAGAUGGAUUGGUGCCUUCGGGAACUCUGACACAGGUGCUGCACGGCUGUCGUCAGCUCGUGUCGUGAGAUGUUGGGUUAAGUCCCGUAACGAGCGCAACCCUUGUCCUUAGUUACCAGCACGUUAUGGUGGGCACUCUAAGGAGACUGCCGGUGACAAACCGGAGGAAGGUGGGGAUGACGUCAAGUCAUCAUGGCCCUUACGGCCUGGGCUACACACGUGCUACAAUGGUCGGUACAAAGGGUUGCCAAGCCGCGAGGUGGAGCUAAUCCCAUAAAACCGAUCGUAGUCCGGAUCGCAGUCUGCAACUCGACUGCGUGAAGUCGGAAUCGCUAGUAAUCGUGAAUCAGAAUGUCACGGUGAAUACGUUCCCGGGCCUU